This 1453-nucleotide long non-coding RNA is filed under the name Anser brachyrhynchus (Pink-footed goose). RNAcentral's name for it is "lncRNA (ENSABRG00000021490.1)". Lineage: Eukaryota; Metazoa; Chordata; Aves; Anseriformes; Anatidae. The record is from RNAcentral.
GUGGGCUUUUACUGUGGAACUGGCUCUGCCUCCUUAAUGCCAGAGCUUAAAUCAAGGCUGGAGGGCUCUGCUACAGGUCCUUGAGUGCAGUCAGCUGUGAAUGUGACCUCUUCCUUUUUUUUUUUUGGCCCUCAUCCUUUACAUCGAGUGUUCAAAAUAUGACCCCGCAGCCUUUCAAGCCUUAGCAGAGGAAAACGGUAAAAUAUUUCUAAUAAACGUGCAGUAACUCCUACCAUAUGUCUGGCCUUUGAGGAGCACAAACGUAGUUUCUUAAGUGGCAGCGUUUGAACGCCAGCCACACGCAGCUCCCAAAUGCUGGCUUGCAAUCCUGCCUCCCCUUCCAGAGCAGGUUUGGUGCUGAGCAGGGUGAAGCUGAGCACGGCAGCUGGCAAGGGGCAGCGCCUGCAGAUAGAAACAGGCCGAGGGAGGGCGAAUUUUCCCCUCCCUGGGGGGACAGUUGCUGGGACAGGCACGUCCCACACCGGCGUGGGCGCUGUGUUUGCAGCUGGUCUUUCUCCUUCUCCUCCUGGGGCUGCCUCUGCUCCGCUCUGCCGUUCAUGGUGAUUUGUUCUUCCUACUUGGCUCGUUCCUAAAAACAAGGCUUUAUUGUUGGAGAUUCCAGAAAAGCGGGUCUCCCUUCUUCAGGCUGCAAAUGCGUGCCUGAAAAUCGGUUCCCUGUGUGACCCAGCUGGAGACCUUACACCGGGGCCAGAAGGGCGCGUGGAGGGGAUGCGGAGGCAGCAGCAGGCUUCAAAGUUCCCCUCCCGUGCCGUGCUGCUGCCCUGCUGCCAGCUGCCCGACUCUUUGUGUGUGUGUUGGCUGCUGGGAGGUGCACGCUGCAGCGCCUGCCCUGCGAGCAGGGAGAAGUUUGCUCCAGGCGUCCUGCAGCCUUACCCGGAGCAUCGGUGCGAGCCCAAACCUCCAGCCCUCACCUCCCUGCUCCUUCAGCCCUGAUUGCCCUGCUCCUUCAGGAAUCGCCUGCAGCGGAGGCUUUUAUUCCACGUUGCUCCCAAAGGGCUGUUGUUUGCUGGCUCCAGGCCUGCAGAGGCACCGAAACGGGGAAAAUUCAGCUGCCCGAAUUCUGCUCUCCGCCUCGCGCCCUGCUGCCGGGAGGAGGAGGAUGAAUUUGGGGCAGCUUUGCCCGCCCAGCUUCCCAGCAGGGCUUUGGGUUUGUGUGUUUUUUUUUUUUUUCCCCUCCUCAUCCUAACGCAAAAGGUUAAUUAGCGGCAAGCUCUACACGGCUAAUUAAAGACAUAUGAGAUCUUUCUUUGGCUCCCCGGAGCUGUCAGCCUUUUCCUCGCACGCCGCCGUCCCCGCUGACGCAGAGCGCGCUAAUUAACUCGGGUGCCAGACCCGGGUAAUUGGGCUGCCCUUGGGGCCGGGCACUGAACGCCACAGCCUGACCCCCCCCCCGACCCCCCAAAGCCCCCCCCUGCUCCGUGGGGGCUCCACG